UUCCCUAACAAAUUUUGUAUUUUACAUCUUCUUCAAACGAAGUACUAAAAUAGUUGCAGAAAUGCAACAGAAACUGCAGCCAUGGAAGAAAGAUAUCAUGAGAUCACUAAGAUGAUGGGAGAUUGGGCCAUUCAAAUCAGCAUGGAUGAUCACAACACAACCGUUGAUCUUCAUGCAUAGAUCUGAAAACUCCAAGCACUGUCAUAAACCAGGUUUUGACUCCAAUUAGGUUGGAUCCUGAGUGAGUUUGGCUUGGAUUUGGG
This 263-nucleotide long non-coding RNA is filed under the name Musa acuminata (dwarf banana). RNAcentral's name for it is "long non-coding RNA (MACU_LNC003533)". The record is from RNAcentral. Lineage: Eukaryota; Viridiplantae; Streptophyta; Magnoliopsida; Zingiberales; Musaceae.